GAUGAACGCUGGCGGCGUGCCUAAUACAUGCAAGUCGAGCGAACAGACGAGGAGCUUGCUCCUUCGACGUUAGCGGCGGACGGGUGAGUAACACGUAGGUAACCUACCUAUAAGACUGGGAUAACUUCGGGAAACCGGAGCUAAUACCGGAUAAUAUUUCGAACCGCAUGGUUCGAUAGUGAAAGAUGGCUUUGCAAUCACUUAUAGAUGGACCUGCGCCGUAUUAGCUAGUUGGUAAGGUAACGGCUUACCAAGGCAACGAUACGUAGCCGACCUGAGAGGGUGAUCGGCCACACUGGAACUGAGACACGGUCCAGACGCCUACGGGAGGCAGCAGUAGGGAAUCUGCCGCAAUGGGCGAAAGCCUGACGGAGCAACGCCGCGUGAGUGAUGAAGGUCUUCGGAUCGUAAAACUCUGUUAUUAGGGAAGAACAAACGUGUAAGUAACUGUGCACGUCUUGACGGUACCUAAUCAGAAAGCCACGGCUAACUACGUG
RNAcentral lists this ribosomal RNA (497 nucleotides) under uncultured bacterium. RNAcentral describes it as "partial 16S ribosomal RNA". It matches the Rfam family "Bacterial small subunit ribosomal RNA", at positions 28 to 507 of the family's 1533-position model. The record is from RNAcentral.